RNAcentral lists this transfer RNA (84 nucleotides) under Acidobacteriota bacterium. Its description in RNAcentral is "tRNA-Leu". It matches the Rfam family "tRNA". From Rfam's summary of the family: Transfer RNA (tRNA) molecules are approximately 80 nucleotides in length. Their secondary structure includes four short double-helical elements and three loops (D, anti-codon, and T loops). The record is from RNAcentral. Lineage: Bacteria; Pseudomonadati; Acidobacteriota. RNAcentral also lists the same sequence under 1 other name.
GCCGGAGUGGCGAAAUCGGUAUACGCACGAGACUCAAAAUCUCGCGAGCGCAAGCUCAUGGGGGUUCGAUUCCCCCCUCCGGCA